UACGGAGGGUGCGAGCGUUGUCCGGAAUCACUGGGCGUAAAGGGCGCGUAGGCGGCCUGAUAAGUAGGGGGGUGAAAUCCUGCGGCUUAACCGCAGGGCUGCCUUCUAAACUGUCAGGCUCGAGCACAGUAGAGGCAGGUGGAAUUCCCGGUGUAGCGGUGGAAUGCGUAGAGAUCGGGAAGAACAUCAGUGGCGAAGGCGGCCUGCUGGGCUGUUGCUGACGCUGAGGCGCGACAGCGUGGGGAGCAAACGAGGA
Molecule: ribosomal RNA, 256 nt
Filed under: uncultured bacterium
Lineage: Bacteria
Description: partial 16S ribosomal RNA
Rfam family: Bacterial small subunit ribosomal RNA
Source: RNAcentral